CAGAGUAGGAACAGCGCGUCAAGUGUCGGCAAAUGGGAAGUUGUUGCCGGACGAAGAGGCCUCGCGCCUCGCGGUGCUGUUCCGCAUCCGCUGC
Molecule: non-coding RNA, 94 nt
Filed under: uncultured Dysosmobacter sp.
Lineage: Bacteria; Bacillati; Bacillota; Clostridia; Eubacteriales; Oscillospiraceae
Description: THF riboswitch
Rfam family: THF (Tetrahydrofolate) riboswitch aptamer
About the family: THF riboswitch presents a pseudoknot that joins P1-P2 and the loop of P3 and two THF binding.
Source: RNAcentral